RNAcentral lists this microRNA precursor (131 nucleotides) under Prunus dulcis (almond). RNAcentral's name for it is "sRNA ncRNA". The record is from RNAcentral. Lineage: Eukaryota; Viridiplantae; Streptophyta; Magnoliopsida; Rosales; Rosaceae.
AGAUAGGAUUGAUAGGGAGGAUGAGAGGAACGAGUUAUAAAAGUGAAAACAAAAAGCAAAAAAUUGAAACCUAUUUGAGAUUGUUUUCACUUGUUACUCUUUCCUCUCAUCCUCUCUCUGAAUCUCAUCAU